CGUUUGCUCCCACGCUUUCGCGCCUCAGCGUCAGUACCGGUCCAGUGAGCCGCCUUCGCCACUGGUGUUCCUCCCAAUAUCUACGCAUUUCACCGCUACACUGGGAAUUCCACUCACCUCUCCCGGUCUCAAGCCAAGCAGUUUGGAAGGCAGUUCCUCGGUUAAGCCGAGGGAUUUCACCUUCCACUUGCCAGGCCGCCUACGCGCCCUUUACGCCCAAUAAUUCCGAAUAACGCUUGCCCCCUCUGUAUUACCGCGGCUGCUGGCACAGAGUUAGCCGGGGCUUCCUCUGCAGGUACAAUCAACUCCCCGGCGUAUUAAGCCGAGUCGCUUUUUCCCUGCUGACAGGAGUUUACAAUCCAAAGACCUUCAUCCUCCACGCGGCGUUGCUGCGUCAGGCGUUAGCCCAUUGCGCAAAAUUCCCCACUGCUGCCUCCCGUAGGAGUCUGGACCGUGUCUCAGUUCCAGUGUGGCCGAUCACCCUCUCAGGCCGGCUACCGAUCGUCGCCUUGGUAGGCCAUUACCCUACCAACUAGCUAAUCGGACGCGGACCCCUCCAAUGGCGAGAGCUCUUGCGAGCCCCCUUUGACCUCUCGGUAUCAAUGCGGUAUUA
Molecule: ribosomal RNA, 613 nt
Filed under: uncultured soil bacterium
Lineage: Bacteria
Description: partial 16S ribosomal RNA
Source: RNAcentral